This is an RNA transcript of Populus nigra (black poplar), 3501 nucleotides long. It is a transcript of the gene named transcription factor LUX-like, with no coding region annotated. The transcript is spliced from 2 exons. The record is from RefSeq and is a predicted model, not a curated record. NCBI's taxonomy places the organism in Eukaryota, Viridiplantae, Streptophyta, Magnoliopsida, Malpighiales, Salicaceae.
UUUGCACUUUUUCUCUCCCAAGAAGACACCCUCAAAAACUAAUUUUCCUUUCCUUUCCUUCGAACCAAACAAACAAACCCAACCCCUUCCCGUAAUAUUCUCCAAUUUCUUCUCUGAAUCCGAUCCAAUUCCUUUUUCGAUUUCUAAAAAAAAAAAAAAAAAAAAAAAUCCAAAAAUUCUCCAAUUUCAAUUUUUUUUUUUUCAACUACCAUGGGAGAAGAAGUGAAAAUGAGUGAAUACGAAAUCAACGAUGAAGAUAACAUCAACAGGGACGAUGAAAGAAUUGAUGUGUGGGAGAUGGGAUUACCUACACCUUAUGAUCUCACUCCUUUAUCACAACCGUUGAUCCCACCUGAACUUGCUUCCGCCUUCAACAUCUCCCCUGAGCCUCACCGUACUCCGCUCGAUGUCAACCGAGCUUCCCAGAACACUCUCUCCAAUCUCCACGGUCAUUUAAACGCCCUAUCGUCUAACAACUUCAAGUUCUUCAACGAAACGACAGGUCAAACGAACGACCCUAUGGUAGUCGAGUUAGAGGAGGAGGAGGAGGAGGAGGAGGAGGAUGAUGUGACCGAGGCGAUGGAUCGGGACGGGUCCGGAUCCGAAGCCAGGAAGUUGAGGAGGAUUGAUUCUGAAGAGGCGGAUUCAGCCUUGAGGACUGAGAAUUGGGUGGAUGACCCGUCAUCUGCUGCGGCGAGGACUUUGAAACGGCCACGGCUGGUGUGGACCCCGCAGUUGCAUAAGAGAUUUGUUGAUGUGGUGGGCCACUUAGGGAUGAAAAACGCGGUCCCGAAAACAAUUAUGCAGUGGAUGAAUGUCGAGGGUUUGACUCGCGAAAAUGUAGCUAGUCAUUUGCAAAAGUACCGGCUUUAUUUGAAGAGGAAACAGGGGUUUUCGAGUGAAGGACCCUCUGCUUCUGAUCAGUUGUUUGCGUCCACUCCUGUGCCGCAGAGUUUGCACGAGAGCGGCGGCGGAAGCUGUGGGGGUGGGAAUUUCGGAAUGCCAAUUCCAGUGCCUUAUCAUCAUCCCGCCACCACGGCUGGUGGGAUGAUGCCAAUGCCGGUUUAUGGACAUAUGGGGAUCCAAAUGGUGAAUGAUCAUGUUCAUAAUAAUAAUAAUAGCAAUAAUUAUCAGCAUCAGCAAGUUAGUAUGAAUAGUCAUCAAAAUGGGUAUAAUGGAAAUGUUGCUUUGCUAAUGGGGAAUAAGCGUGUUCAUAGUAGUAGUAAUAAGCAUCAGCAUCAGCAUCAGCAUCAGCAUCAGCAAGUUAGUACGAAUAGUCAUCAAAAUGGGUAUAAUGGAAAUGUUGCUUAUGGACAUGUGUUUCAGCAGAGGGAUUGGAAUCGGACUGAUUAUGGUCCAUACUCGCAUCAUCCUCAUCAUGCAGUAUCUAAUGAUAAUAUGUGAUGUUGGGAGGAGAUAUUUUUUUUGGAAUUCUAUAGGAAAAGAGGUCAGUGCUGCUUUCAGUUGGAGUUGUUGGAUAUAAAUUAGUUGUCAAUUUCUGUUAUUAUCUGUCUGAAAGUGUAUUCAUGAAUUAGAAAUGAAGCUCUGUAGCUUUAAAUUAAAGUAUGACUUGGGAAAAAUUCUAAUUUUGAAUUAGCCCUUGUUAAUAUUUGAUUUUGAUGAGUGUGCAUAUAUAGAAUCGGCGGAGCUUGCUUUUCAUUGCUUAAAGUCACUUGUAGAACAGGUGCCUUCCACUGCAAAUGCAUUGCACCAGGGACCAGUGCUUUAAACUGGUUCUUCGUCAAUUGCAAUAUUUCUUCAAGGUCACAAUUGAUGCUAUUCCUAGGUUUGAGAUACUCCUUGCAAAUAUAUUCCUCAACAUGCCAUUGUGUUUUAUUUGUUUGCUUUACAAUUGAUUUUAUGAACACCAAUUUAUCAAAUGUAUCAAUUGUCUGUAUCAAUGGCAAUUAACAUAUACCAUUCACCUGAAGCCUUAAAACAUUUGAUAGAUGUAUUUGAGCACUCAUUUUCCUCCAAACAGACAUCUAGAAGACCAAGUUAACUAUACACUCAUCUUCUUCCAAAUCCUCAAUCCCAAGCUAGUUGGGGUCAGCUAUAUAUUUAUUUUCACAUUUUAUUGGAGCCUCUAAUUUUUUUUGGUAGAAAACAACUAAGUUCAAUUUAUGAGCUUUUUAGCUUGCACUUUUGUCUGCGUGCAACGAGAAUUUGUGUUUAAAUUCUGUUGUGAAAACUGAAGAGGGUAAAAAAUAUGUACACUGUUACAGGUUCUAAGUGACAGGGAAGGAAUCCCCCUCUCCUUUAACUCCUAAAUGUGCACACAAACAAUCACCUAGAAUAUCUAGAAAUCUGAAAUUUUAAGAUACCAUCACAUCAGGUAGGGAGAUGGACAUACAAUGUCAUCCUCUAUCAAGCCUGCACAAAGACUUCAAGAUGAUAAUACCACAACAUUAUGCUUACACUCUGUGCACUUGCAAACUAUUGGCUGAUAAUAAUUGUUGUAAUUGGGGGAGUGAAGGAGUUGUACAUUUAGGGUUAAUGUGCAUGGCAGCAUCGCUUUUAACCUGAAAAAUUAAACCUUUUCUUGAAUACUUAAUACUUGCAUGGCCAUGAUCUGUAAAGAGUUCGAAUGCGAAACAAAAAAAUACAACUUAACUAGAUGAAAGCUUGUAGAUAUCUGUCAAUUUGCACCCUUGAACUGAAGUAGGCUCUUCUAUAGAUACCGGAAGGUGCAUGCUGUUGCAUCUGUCAUCGUCUCACUUUUAUCUCAAACUUUUUUGGUUUGCCUUUAUGUAUUUUAUAUGAUGUUCUGUAUUGAUCUGUAUGUAAGAUACUUUUGGGUUGACAAUUUUUUCUUUCUCGUUUUUCAUUUUCAUGAUGUUAUUAUGUGAUAGUUUAUGUGCAGAAUGAUUUAGUGCGCUUAGAAGUUUGCUUUUCUUUCUCUGACACAAGUCAGGUACUGAACUUUUUCCAGCAAAAAAAUAGGUAUUUUAAUUUCCAAGUUUUGAUCAGCACUUGUGCUAGAGUGUUCUUUAUUCAUUUUCUUUUAUUUUUCUUGUAUUGAGAAUGAAUUCUAGAGUCUAAUUUGCUGACUAAUGUGAUCUCUUUUGAGAUGGUUUUGAUGCCCUUUGAUUUAGACUUGUAGUGAUGUCGAACUUACAGGUUUGCGGUCCACCUAUGUUUCGAUAAGGUCCCCUUUAUUUGUUCUAAGAUUUACAUCCCUGAUUCUGGAGAUUGAGUAACCUGGCAUAACUGUUGGAAGUUGCAGAAAUUUAAGCACUCACAAAAUUUAGAGGGUUUGCAGGAAGAAUUGUGUGGAGACAUAUCCGAGGCAUAUUUCCAGAGAUUGUUAGGUUCUGCAGGGGUCAGGAAAACUUGCAAUCCUUUUUUGAAUAUAUAUCUCAUUGUACUUACCUGAUGGUAGCAGGAACCUCAAGAUAUUACUUAUCAUUGCUUCCAUGAUGAUUAGUAAUAGCUCACAUUCUUUACUUGUUCUUCAAUUGAUAUAUGCUGAAUAAAGUGUGUAUUAUUGGAUGUGGCAAA